This 311-nucleotide small RNA is filed under the name Arabidopsis thaliana (thale cress). RNAcentral describes it as "ATSL155180". Lineage: Eukaryota; Viridiplantae; Streptophyta; Magnoliopsida; Brassicales; Brassicaceae. The record is from RNAcentral.
UUAGUUUCAAAAUAUAACAUGUUUAAACUGAAAGAAGACAUGUAACUCAUAUUUUAAGAAAGUCAUAACAUUUGAAAUGUCUUGUACGGAAUGAAGAGUGGAAGAAAAUCAAAGGAAUUUGAUACCAGAAUAAUUUAGUUCAUAAAUCUCGUAAGAAGCGGUAGUAAGAAAACAAUAGCAAUUGUUGACUGAUUUUUGGUAGGAAAAAUAUUUUCUUUCAUUUUCCUAUUAACAAAAUCCAACCAAUUUUCUACAGUUAUUUUGUAGAAAACUAUUUUCUACAAAACAAAAUUCAACUAAUUUCUUAGUAA